Molecule: long non-coding RNA, 1730 nt
Organism: Glycine soja
Lineage: Eukaryota; Viridiplantae; Streptophyta; Magnoliopsida; Fabales; Fabaceae
Exons: 2
Source: RefSeq, a predicted model, not a curated record
GUUACAAAGGCGGUUUUAUAAAAAUCGUCUUCGUAUGUUUACAGCUUACUACGGUUUUCUUUUAACCACCGUCGUUGAAAUUUUGGUAUUUAAAUCGCAAUUUUAUCCUUUCUUUUUGCACGCGCGCUGCAGACUCGAUCAUCUUCCUGCUUGAGUCAUACCUCCUUCACUCCUUCACUCCGCCACAAGCUUCACUCCACCGUAACCUUGCCUGUGUAAGUCUCCAUAGCCAGGCACAACUUUGUUGUUCUUCACGCUGACAGUCGUGCGGGGCAUAAUAUAUCAGGAAAGGAUCACCGUGUUCAUUGUUCCAUAAAUAUCAACACAGAGACUGGACGUUUGUCAGCAAGAAGGCCAAAUCUGCAGGUUCUUCAAACUUGCAAGACUUCUUUAGCUGUUGGUUUACUUGAAAUUUUUUAAAAGCCAUAUUUUUCAUUCCUUUGUCUGUAUAUAUUUAUUUAUUAUUUAUUGAUGAUGGUUUGAUUUCAUCUUUUUAUGUUUGUAAGAUAUAAAGCCAUUUAUGUGCCUUCACUUAAUACCUUAUGCUUUUAGGAGAAUUGGUUCUUGAUAUGAUAUCAAAGCCUCUAUGACCAAGUAGUCAGGAGUUUCAUCAUUGUUGCUCCCAUUCUUCUUAAAACAAUGUUUAGUUUUUAGCACAAAGUAUAUGGUUGACCUGUGCAUCGUCCAUGCUUCAAGCUCAAAGGACUUACUAUGACAAGCCAAGUUAAAUAUAAAAUGAUUCAUGUGCCCGGCCACAUAUAGUUUAAGUUUUUAGAAGAGUUGGUUCUUGCCAAUAUUAAAUUUUUAAUUUACUAAAAAGAUUUUAUAACAUUAGUUGUUGAAAUGAAAUAUUAGAGAGAAGAGUCGAAUUACUUCUUUUCUUUUCAAUCUGUUAAGUAGAGUUAGUUACUUUAGUUAACUCAACUAACAUUGACUUAGUUGACAGUUGUUCUGACAGCUGUACAUAGCUGUCCUAACUCUAAUAUAAAUACUAGAGGUAUAACUUCUUUUCAGUUGUGUUGUUAAUAGAACAACUCAUUUAUUGAUAAAAGAUUAAAUCUGGACAACUAGUAGUGAUAUGCAAAAAAAUGUUAUUUAAGCUUCUUGUUUGUGAUAAUAACAUGUGCCAAUAUUGUCUUUUGAUGCAAGUUUAGUUCAUGAGCUGUUUCUCACUGUAGUAAAAAAUCUUUUAUCCUCCCUAAGACUGUACAUUAUCUUAUUUUCUGUCCUUUGUUAUGAAUUAAUUAUUUUAAAAGCUUCACCUGGUAGGUGAAAAACGGUCUUGUACACGUGCCUCCUCACACAAUAGUCAUUAUACCCAAACUCAAUAUAUGUUAGAAGGAUGGGAAUGGCUUUAGCUUUCUACACUAACAAUAUUAUUGAAAAAGAAAAGGCAACUCAUUUGUUAUCUUUACAUUGAACUUUGAAUUAGAAGCAUUCACCACUUUCUUGACUGAAGUCUAAUUGGUCUUGAUACAGUCUCUCUUAAUUUUUUACAACUAUUUGAGCUCUAUGUUAGUCUAUGAGUUUAACUUAACUACUACUUUUAAUGAUCUAAUUUUAUUGGCGGAAAACAGGACUCCAUGUUGGUUACAAGGGUUGUCAAUUAAAAGUGAUUAAAGAUUUUGAUUCAAGUUGGUGAUAUGGUAAAGGUCUCGUUGUGGUGUGGUCUAUGUUUGACAUUAUUUGUUUGUGUAAACAUUCAUGAAAAUAAAUUAAUCUUAUAAUCU